This 462-nucleotide ribosomal RNA is filed under the name uncultured bacterium. Its description in RNAcentral is "partial 16S ribosomal RNA". It matches the Rfam family "Bacterial small subunit ribosomal RNA", at positions 28 to 507 of the family's 1533-position model. The record is from RNAcentral.
GACGAACGCUGGCGGCGUGCUUAACACAUGCAAGUCGAACGGAAAGGCCCUUCGGGGUCCUCGAGUGGCGAACGGGUGAGUAACACGUGGGUGAUCUGCCCUGCACUUUGGGAUAAGCCUGGGAAACUGGGUCUAAUACCGAAUAUGAUCAUCGGCUUCAUGGUCGGUGGUGGAAAGCUUUUGCGGUGUGGGAUGGGCCUGCGGCCUAUCAGCUUGUUGGUGGGGUAAUGGCCUACCAAGGCGACGACGGGUAGCCGGCCUGAGAGGGUGACCGGCCACACUGGGACUGAGAUACGGCCCAGACUCCUACGGGAGGCAGCAGUGGGGAAUAUUGCACAAUGGGCGCAAGCCUGAUGCAGCGACGCCGCGUGAGGGAUGACGGCCUUCGGGUUGUAAACCUCUUUCAGCACAGACGAAGCGCAAGUGACGGUAUGUGCAGAAGAAGGACCGGCCAACUACGUG